Molecule: non-coding RNA, 2671 nt
Organism: Nicotiana tabacum (common tobacco)
Lineage: Eukaryota; Viridiplantae; Streptophyta; Magnoliopsida; Solanales; Solanaceae
Source: RefSeq, a predicted model, not a curated record
AGGGUAAGUUCUCACAGAAGAAGAGAUGGAUAACAAGAGAUCUACUGAUGUUGCAGAUCAAUUGCAACGUGAUGGUAUGGAUAGUAGAUUGGAAGUUAAAAGUUCGUGUUGUCCGUUUGUGGGAAGUACCCGAUCGUUUUAAUCCCGAAAAUAUAUUGUCGAUUGAAUUGGUUCUUCAAGAUGUAAAGGUUUUAAUAAACGCUGUCUAUGAUCAAGUCUGGGUUCUCCCCUUCAACAGUUGGCACCAAAGGUAAUCCUACCCAUUUGUGCUUUCUGAUUUUAACUACUAUUCUUAAAAUUGUGUUUAUUUUUUAGAUGAAAUAUUUCACUUAUUCGUUGUUAUGGUGCUGAGCAAUUCACUAUUCCCUCUUCUAUUAUGAGGAGGACCUACAGAUGUCACUCUAGAAACUCCUAUUGUUCAUUUACCUUGAGGUAUGCUAUUCUUCUACUUUAAGUUUUUGUAAUUUGAAAUAGGUAAAAAGUUGCCUCCAUAAAAUUUGUAUGCAUAGCUAGCAACUCUUUCUUCAGAUAUACACCUCUCAAAGGAUUUUAUGGGUGGAAAUCUUAUGGUAAUGUCUAAUUCUACAGAGUCGUCAAGCUUUCUUUUUCCUUCGUUGUUAUGUUUUCCCCUUCUGAUGCUACAAAGAGUGAUAGUUUUAGAUCCAUCAACAGGGUCUACUAUAAUACUAAUAUUGUGCAUUAUAAAUAUUGGCAGGUCAGAAGGGCAUUUCUUAAUAGCUAAAUUUUAAGAAAAGUUGCAUGAGUUUCAAGGAUCGAUUUAAGAAGUCCUUUAAAAAGUUUGUAAGAUGGCCUCAUGUCUUUAUCUUUUGGAGUUGGUGAGUAUCAAAGAGGAAGCUUAGUAUUAAGGUUUACAAGUUGACAUCGGUUUGGCCAAGACUUUUUUCUAGAUGCUAUGUGCCUUUGUUCCUGUAAAUACUAAAUAUAUGUACACUCGACCUUAAAGUCAAAAGGAUAUCGAUAUACACAUAUAAUCAUGUUACAUAAUGUGUCUGAAAUAUUAGUUGUCUCUUUUUACUUUCGUGUUUGGGGCACAAUUUCAUAUGUAACCCAUUAAUUAUGACUUGAUUUUCAACUAAUUAAGUUUUUUUCAUUUAGCUUUCACGUUGUCUAAACAAGGGAAACAACUUCUAAAUAUUACUACAGCAAAAUUUAUAUAAAACUUCUUCUGAAAAAAGGAUAAAACGGGCAUUUGCAAUAUUCCAGCGGCUUAUGUGCAGUAUGUAUUGUGUUGAAUUAUCCUAAAGUAUCACUUCAAUCAGAAUUUGAUUUUCUUAAAUGGUGACAAAUGUCUCAUGUUAAUAGUUGUAUAACGAUUUAAAUGGUAAGAUGGCUUUGCGACUAUUUAUAUCAGCGGUUAAGAAUGGUGAAAGUUGAUGCUGCUGAUAUUAAGUUUCAUAGCAAUUCAUGGCCUUUGAAUGGUGACUUUGCUAGAGUGUGUUAUGCUUUUAUUUGGAUUCUUUUCCAUUGUAGCUCUUCAAUGAAAGGCGUAAGAGCUACCGGGAACAAGUAGCUGCUAAAGAUUUCAGCCCCAAAAAUAUGUGUUGGUAAUGUCUCCCUCUCUUCCUCUUCUUUCUCCCGCAUAUAAAAAACACAUAAUGGAGUUACAUCAACCACCACCUACAACUGAAGAUAUGCUUUUAAGUAGAAACAAAUAAGAUACUUUUACAUAUUUUACUUUGUACAACGCUUUUGUAGAGUUUAGAUUCCUAAUAAAAAUGCUUCUUAUCGUAAAUUUGUAAUUCUCAGCAAAUGGUUUUAGCAUUCCUAAAUUUGAGACCCAAGUUCAAAGAAAUAUUAAUUUCAUUUGCUAUACACAAAUGGGAUACUUGGAAUCCCAUUAUAACUCUCUUCUUGCUUCAGAAUUUUAUAUGAAAAAAGGGAGAACACAUAAAUUGCUGAUUUGUAGAGAUAUUCUAUAUGCCUUCAAUUUUCUAUUUUUCCUGAUAAUAUGAGUACCAGAUGAUCGGAGUGUUAGAAAAAAUGAUGGAGAAAAUCACUACUGUUCAUGUUGCCAAAAUAAAAGAAUGAACCUUGGAGAUGAAAGAAAAAAAUAAUCAACGACUUUGAAGGCAAAGAACAGGAGAGAAAAAUAUGUUCCAUUUGUUGAAAUGAUGGCAAACAAGUUAUAGAGGGUGAGAAGAAGAGAAUUGUAAAGCGGUAAGAACACAUAUAUACUUGGUGUAGUGAAGAAGUUGUGUGAAACUAUGGUAUGAAAGAACACGAAGAUAGAGACUGGCUUGAUCAUAUUUCAUCAUCAGAAAGCAUGUGCUUUUUUCCAUCUAAUCCAAGGAGUGAUCCAACGUGACAGAUUAUGUUAUAAUCAAAUUUGUAAGAUUAUAUAUCAUGAAAAUGUUCUAAGCAUAUUCCUUACAUGAAAGAUUGAAAAGAAGUAGUCUCUCAAAAUGUAAAAGGAAGAGCUUACUUUUAGUUCUUGAUGCAGUCCUUUCUAGAAAGACAAAAAUAACAUAGAAUAAUCUUUCCUUUUCAAAAAAGUUCCUAACUUUGUGUUUAUGGGUUGUAACUUUUUGGGAUUUUGAUCAUCUUAGCUUUUGAUUCGCCUAUUCACUCAGGAAGAUGUUUGAGGCUAACAGACUCAUGGUGUGUUCUUAUUCCCUUUUAUUUUCAUUUUUCUUUGUAUUUUAGCAUCUUA